GACAAUUUUUUGUUUAAGGCCUAAAACGUCGUUUGAUCACCCCAAAAAAUCCUAAAAUUUUUUCAAAGUCCAAAUCCCCACUCCACAUAAACCCUCACCUAACUACAGUCUUUGAACUCCACCUCCAUUCUCUGUCCAAAACAACCACCGACUUCACCCACUCCGGUUCAAAAUUUACAUUCAAAAUAGCACAAAAUCACGCAUUCCAGUCAUCCCUUACUUUCCGACGAUCUGAGUAUGCCCAGUGCCCAUGGUCACACUAGCUAGCAACGGCGCCAACAUCGAGCCUCAGAUAUUGUCGUUCAUGAGUGCAUCGCGCCUGCGCCACUGCCCCUAAUCAUCAGAUCUGGUCAUCAUGCACCUCGUCGAUCAACCAAGAACUCAAGGGAGCCCUAUUCCAUCUUCACCUACCUACGUCGUCUAUCUCUACUCCCAAAUCUCCUUUCUGAGGCAAAUGUAUAGAACGGUGGUGGAAGAAGCAUCAUUAAAAAUAAAGAAAAGGCGGAGGUUGUACUUGCCUUGUAAAAUACACUUUCUAAAAAAACCAUAUCUGGAAAUUCAGAAAGUGAAGUGGUGGUCGUAGAUGAGUGCAGCUGAAGCUCUAAGGAUAUUAGUUUUUUGGGCAUGGCUCCGGUUAUGUUGAUAAUUUGGGGUUCGCUUUAUAAACCGUGUGGAACAUGAAGACAUAGAAUCACAUAUCGGUCCUUCCUCUUGGUAAAGAUCCACUUGCUAUUACAUCCCUAAGUUUCAACCACAAUGAAGGAUCUUAGCAGGGUCUGCAACUGAUGGAAUGGUUCACAUGUUUGACGUGUCAGCUGGUAAAUUACUGGAUGGCUUGUGCAUGAUUCUGCUAUGAGCUCUUCUUUUUUGGCCCGGAUAUACCAGCAUUUUCAGCCUUGAGUCAGUCAGAAAGGCAAGUUUGUUUCAUUAUUUUAUGGCUUGAAUAUAACCAGAUUUUCUAAUGGACUUUGCAAAGCUAAGGUCAAGUCGUUCGGUCAAGGAAUUGCAGCAGGUACACACAUUACUUGGCACUAUUAACAGCAAAUAUAUUGUGCACUAUACUUGAUUUUUCUCUCCUGUCACCUCUGUUAAAAAGAAAUGAUGCCAAAAAAAAAAAUAUUUUUUUUCUUUUAAAGCAACAGAUGUCAUAAAUUCAGUAAAACCUUCAACUACUAAACAUUCUUCAUUAGUUCAUGCAUGCUUCUGUCUCAAUACUAUUGUAGGCUCUUUUUUUUCUUUUUUGCUUUUUUUCCCCCUUUCUCUCUCUCCUUGUGUAGAGAUCUUACCGUCAACAGAUUGAAUGGAACUCUUUCAAUUUUUCAAGGCUUACAGCAGGUGCAGAAUAUGUAAGUAUAUUACCUUAAGUUGUAAUAUAAACAUGGGGGUUCCAUGUAUAUACCUUUGACAAUUUAUGCUUUAGAGGCAUAGAUUUAGAUUCAUGGAAUCCUGGUAAAGUACCAACCUUCUCAUCCUUGGAAAUUAUCAUUGCUCGUUUGGUAUAAUGUAGACGAGGCCUUUCAUAAAUGAGAUAAACAGAGAACUUAAGAGAGGGAGAAGAUGUGAUCUAGUAAUUAUUUGAUUAUUAAUUUUAUGUUUUGAUGUGAUCUAGUAAUUAUUUGAUUAUUAAUUUUAUGUUUUCUUCUGUAUAAUCUUGUUUCUAAUUUAACUGUAUAACAAUUGCUUACUGCAUUAUUAAUUUGAUUCUGAUGCUUAACAAGCAACCAACUUAGUGCGAAUGUUCCAAAAUAGAUCCUAGAUAGAGAAACCAACUAGUAAGUUUGUCCAACAUAAACCCACAUCAUUUUGCAUUAUAUCAUAUAUUAUUUGUAAAUAUUUUUUCCAGUUCUAUAUAUUUAAUCAAGAAAUAUGUUCUUUAUGAUUAUCAUAAUGAGUAAAAAUUUGAGUUCAUAAUUAUUCUUAAUGUUUUUUUUGGAUGGAUUGCUCCACACGUGGUAAGCAUCAUGAUUGCUUUCCGGACGUGUGUUGUUGCUUGUUUCCAUUAAAAUGUCAGGUUUCUUGGUAUUGCUAUUUGCUCAUGGGGUUUAUUGAUGUUCAAGGGAAUUACCUCUGUGAGUUGUUGUACUUGGAGCUUUCUUAAUAAUUUAUGCUUCAGCAUUAGUCAUUUAUGAAAUUAUGCUAAUCAAAUUUGUUGAAAAGUAUGUUUUUCAAUGCCUGUCUAUUUAGGAGCACAUUCUUACAAUAGAUAAAUGGAAUGAUGGGCUUAUAAUUAAAGGAGUCUAUGAAAAGAAUUAAUUAUCGCUUACCACAUAUAUUACAAAUAUAUAAAUUAGUGUAAUAUACGAAAGUAUAUUUUAUAACAAAUAGGCAGAGGCAUGCAGUCGAUGAUAAACAAAAGAAAGUUAAUUGUUGCUUUCAAAUGGUUAGUUUCUUGAUGAUUAUAUGACUAAUUAUGAUCUAAACACUGUAUACAAUAUCUUAUGAUCUAAAGUAUUUUUGUACACACUUGUUCCAUUCCUUCUCAAGGUAUAGUAUUCUUCUGUAAUCCGUUAAUGGUAAAAUUCUUUUUUUUUUUUUCCCAAAAAUAUAAUACAUACUUAUUUUGGUUUAAGCUCAUGCUGCAAUGUAAGUCCGUGCCAAAAGUUAGAUCAUACUUGGUACUAAUAUUACUGUCAGUCUAAUUACUGGUACGCACUAAUGUAGUGCACUUUGCUUUCUAAUACUUCUUUCAGAUUAAUACGUGCCCUGGAUCCCGAUCUGGAACUCUGUUACUAUAUUGAUGGGGAUAUUUUAAGGAUUGCUGGGACAUGUGAUAUAAUUUUUUGGCACGACAAAAGAGUUUCUGUAUUUGUUUAUUCUUGUCGGUCUCUAACUUCAUUGAUCCUUGCUAGAUGACUUUUACUUUACAGCGAUUGCUUUAUUGGGGUCCUUAUGUAUCUUUGAUAUCUUGACAGUUUUGCUACUAGUCCAACCACCAAAGAUGAUAAACUACAUUGUUGAUGAGCACUAUAUUGAUGUGGAGUCUCCACUACUUAACCGAGUGAAGAUGACAGAAGGCAUUCAAGGAGAAUGCUGCAGCAUUACAACAUCAAGAUGGUUUACAGACUAGCCAAGCACAAUCUUUUUUUUUUUCUUUUUUUUUUUUUUUCGUUUUAGUUUAAGCUUAUUAUAUGCAAAGUUCAAAAUUUAGGUAUAGGUGGAAAUAUCAAAAGUUCAAAAUAUAUAAAUUUUUAUGUAAAUAUUGGAAUGUAUUGAAUAUUGAUAAAAAUUCACAAAAAUGAUUGAA
RNA transcript from Ziziphus jujuba (common jujube), 3244 nucleotides. RefSeq lists it as uncharacterized. The transcript is spliced from 7 exons. The record is from RefSeq and is a predicted model, not a curated record. Lineage: Eukaryota; Viridiplantae; Streptophyta; Magnoliopsida; Rosales; Rhamnaceae.